RNAcentral lists this ribosomal RNA (164 nucleotides) under Eriachne ciliata. RNAcentral's name for it is "5.8S ribosomal RNA". It matches the Rfam family "5.8S ribosomal RNA". From Rfam's summary of the family: 5.8S ribosomal RNA (5.8S rRNA) is a component of the large subunit of the eukaryotic ribosome. It is transcribed by RNA polymerase I as part of the 45S precursor that also contains 18S and 28S rRNA. Lineage: Eukaryota; Viridiplantae; Streptophyta; Magnoliopsida; Poales; Poaceae. The record is from RNAcentral.
CAGACGACUCUUGGCAACGGAUAUCUCGGCUCUCGCAUCGAUGAAGAACGUAGCAAAAUGCGAUACCUGGUGUGAAUUGCAGAAUCCCGUGAACCAUCGAGUCUUUGAACGCAAGUUGCGCCCGAGGCCUUCUGGCCGAGGGCAUGCCUGCCUGGGCGUCUUGC